AACGAACGCUGGCGGCAUGCCUAACACAUGCAAGUCGAACGAGACCUUCGGGUCUAGUGGCGCACGGGUGCGUAACGCGUGGGAACCUGCCCUUAGGUUCGGAAUAACUCCCCGAAAGGGGUGCUAAUACCGGAUAAUGUCUUCGGACCAAAGAUUUAUCGCCUUUGGAUGGGCCCGCGUGGGAUUAGCUAGUUGGUAGGGUAAAAGCCUACCAAGGCGACGAUCCAUAGCUGGUCUGAGAGGAUGAUCAGCCACACUGGGACUGAGACACGGCCCAGACUCCUACGGGAGGCAGCAGUGGGGAAUAUUGGACAAUGGGCGAAAGCCUGAUCCAGCAAUGCCGCGUGAGUGAUGAAGGCCUUAGGGUUGUAAAGCUCUUUUAACCGGGAUGAUAAUGACAGUACCGGGAGAAUAAGCCCCGGCUAACUCCGUG
This 433-nucleotide ribosomal RNA is filed under the name uncultured bacterium. RNAcentral describes it as "partial 16S ribosomal RNA". It matches the Rfam family "Bacterial small subunit ribosomal RNA", at positions 29 to 507 of the family's 1533-position model. The record is from RNAcentral.